RNAcentral lists this ribosomal RNA (465 nucleotides) under uncultured bacterium. RNAcentral describes it as "partial 16S ribosomal RNA". It matches the Rfam family "Bacterial small subunit ribosomal RNA", at positions 28 to 507 of the family's 1533-position model. The record is from RNAcentral.
GACGAACGCUGGCGGCGUGCUUAACACAUGCAAGUCGAACGGAAAGGCCCCUUUGGGGGUCCUCGAGUGGCGAACGGGUGAGUAACACGUGAGUAACCUGCCCUUGACUUCGGGAUAACUUCAGGAAACUGGGGCUAAUACCGGAUAGGAAUCCUUGCUGCAUGGUGGGGGUUGGAAAGCUUCGGCGGUUUUGGAUGGACUCGCGGCUUAUCGGCUUGUUGGUGGGGUAGUGGCUUACCAAGGCUUUGACGGGUAGCCGGCCUGAGAGGGCGACCGGCCACAUUGGGACUGAGAUACGGCCCAGACUCCUACGGGAGGCAGCAGUGGGGAAUAUUGCACGAUGGGCGGAAGCCUGAUGCAGCAACGCCGCGUGCGGGAUGACGGCCUUCGGGUUGUAAACCGCUUUCAGCAGGGGCGAAGCUUGUGGUGACGGUACCUGCAGAAGAAGCACCGGCUAACUACGUG